GAGGAAUAUUGGUCAAUGGGCGAGAGCCUGAACCAGCCAAGUAGCGUGCAGGAUGACGGCCCUAUGGGUUGUAAACUGCUUUUGUAUGGGGAUAAAGUCAAUCACGUGUGAUUGUUUGCAGGUACCAUACGAAUAAGGACCGGCUAAUUCCGUGCCAGCAGCCGCGGUAAUACGGAAGGUCCGGGCGUUGUCCGGAUUUAUUGGGUUUAAAGGGAGCGUAGGCUGGAGAUUAAGUGUGUUGUGAAAUGUAGACGCUCAACGUCUGACUUGCAGCGCAUACUGGUUUCCUUGAGUACGCACAACGUUGGCGGAAUUCGUCGUGUAGCGGUGAAAUGCUUAGAUAUGACGAAGAACUCCGAUUGCGAAGGCAGCUGACGGGAGCGCAACUGACGCUGAAGCUCGAAGGUGCGGGUAUCGAACAGGAUUAGAUACCCUGGUAGUCCGCACAGUAAACGAUGGAUGCCCGCUGUUGGUACUUGGUAUCAGCGGCUAAGCGAAAGCAUUAAGCAUCCCACCUGGGGAGUACGCCGGCAACGGUG
Molecule: ribosomal RNA, 539 nt
Filed under: uncultured bacterium
Lineage: Bacteria
Description: bacterial SSU rRNA
Rfam family: Bacterial small subunit ribosomal RNA
Source: RNAcentral